GUAAAUAUAGUUUAAAGAAAAUAUCAGACUGUGAAUCUGAAGAUAGGGUAUAAUACCCCUAUUUACC
Molecule: transfer RNA, 67 nt
Filed under: Neodon sikimensis (Sikkim mountain vole)
Lineage: Eukaryota; Metazoa; Chordata; Mammalia; Rodentia; Cricetidae
Description: tRNA-His
Rfam family: tRNA
About the family: Transfer RNA (tRNA) molecules are approximately 80 nucleotides in length. Their secondary structure includes four short double-helical elements and three loops (D, anti-codon, and T loops).
Source: RNAcentral